This is a long non-coding RNA of Bradysia coprophila, 178 nucleotides long. Lineage: Eukaryota; Metazoa; Arthropoda; Insecta; Diptera; Sciaridae. The record is from RefSeq and is a predicted model, not a curated record.
GCCCAAUCCUCGCUCAUAAAAACAAAAACCGUAAAACAAAAAUGUUUUUCUGUCAAACCGUAGGGUUAUCAGGAACUGAUAUAUGCACGUAGGCUAUGAGUCUUGAAUGAAGUCUUCAGAUUAACGAUCAAUAGAGCAAUUUUGUGUUAAUAGAUUUGCUUCGUUUAUCAUUAAUUUU